This 495-nucleotide ribosomal RNA is filed under the name uncultured bacterium. RNAcentral's name for it is "partial 16S ribosomal RNA". It matches the Rfam family "Bacterial small subunit ribosomal RNA", at positions 27 to 507 of the family's 1533-position model. The record is from RNAcentral.
GGGGGGGGGGGGGGGGGGGGGGGGGGGGGGGGGGGGGGGGGGGGGGGGGGGGCUUGGGCCGCUGGCGUUGGCGGCGGGGGGGUGGGUAACCCGUGGGUAACCUGCCUCUCAGGCUGGGAUAACUUCGGGGAACCGGAGCUCAUACCCGAUCAUAUAUUGAACCGCAUGGUUCACGCGUGAGAGACGGUGUUGCUGUCUCUUCUAUAUGGAUCCGCGCCGCAGUAGCUAGUUGGUGAGGUCACGGCUUACCAAGUCAACGAUGCUUAGCCGACCUGAGAGGGUGAUCGGCCACACUGGAACUGAGACACGGUCCAGACUACUACGGGAGGCAGCAGUAGGGAAUCUUCCGCAAUGGGCGAAAGCCUGACGGAGCAACGCAGCGUGAGUGAUGAAGGUCUUCGGAUCGUAAAACUCUGUUAUUAGGGAAGAACAAAUGUGUAAGUAACUAUGCACGUCUUGACGGUACCUAAUCAGAAAGCCACGGCUAACUACGUG